RNAcentral lists this transfer RNA (86 nucleotides) under Verrucomicrobiia bacterium. Its description in RNAcentral is "tRNA-Leu". It matches the Rfam family "tRNA". From Rfam's summary of the family: Transfer RNA (tRNA) molecules are approximately 80 nucleotides in length. Their secondary structure includes four short double-helical elements and three loops (D, anti-codon, and T loops). Lineage: Bacteria; Pseudomonadati; Verrucomicrobiota; Verrucomicrobiia. RNAcentral also lists the same sequence under 1 other name. The record is from RNAcentral.
GCCGGCGUGGCGGAACUGGUAGACGCAGCAGACUUAAAAUCUGCUGAGGAGCAAUCCUCGUGCGGGUUCGAGUCCCGCCGUCGGCA